RNAcentral lists this ribosomal RNA (511 nucleotides) under uncultured bacterium. RNAcentral describes it as "bacterial SSU rRNA". It matches the Rfam family "Bacterial small subunit ribosomal RNA", at positions 15 to 518 of the family's 1533-position model. The record is from RNAcentral.
GAUCAUGGCUCAGGAUGAACGCUAGCUACAGGCUUAACACAUGCAAGUCGAGGGGCAGCAGUUGGGGUAGCAAUACUCAGAUGCGACCGGCGCACGGGUGAGUAACACGUAUCCAACCUGCCGCUUACUCGGGGAUAGCCUUUCGAAGAAAGAUUAAUACCCGAUGGUAUAAAGAGUUCGCAUGUUCUCUUUAUUAAAAGAAUUUCGGUAAGCGAUGGGGAUGCGUCCAUUAGAUAGUUGGCGGGGUAACGGCCCACCAAGUCUACGAUGGAUAGGGGUUCUGAGAGGAAGGUCCCCCACAUUGGAGCUGAGACACGGUCCAAACUCCUACGGGAGGCAGCAGUGAGGAAUAUUGGUCAAUGGACGAGAGUCUGAACCAGCCAAAAGUAGCGUGAAGGAUGACUGCCCUAUGGGUUGUAAACUUCUUUUAUAAGGGAAUAAAGUGAGGGACGUGUCCCUUUUUGUAUGUACCUUAUGAAUAAGGAUCGGCUAACUCCGUGCCAGCCGCCGC